Equus asinus (donkey) is the source of this 2112-nucleotide long non-coding RNA. The record is from Ensembl. NCBI's taxonomy places the organism in Eukaryota, Metazoa, Chordata, Mammalia, Perissodactyla, Equidae.
GCCUGGCCAGCUCUGGAUCUGCAGAGUGCCAAUGAGGGGUGCUCGGGUCAGUGCUUCUGCAGGCGCGGGGUACUUGCUGCCCCGGUAAACAUGGCGAAGAGCUAUCUCCACCAAAAGACUUCCCACAGGCUGUAAAAUGCCAGCCCAGCCCCACGGGGCUGACGUGGUGGUCAGCAUUUUUCAAACGUGUUGACCUCUCAGUCCUUUCUGUCGGGACCACGUUAGAUGAGGAAUCUGACUGGCUCAUAUUGUCUAUUUGGACCAAGUCAUAGGUUGUCAGGGGACCUGUAAAUUAGAGGCUAUGAGGAGAGGUGCCUGUCCACUUUAUUCAACCAGAAGGAGCUGUGGCAUCCCCGACACCAUGGUUGACGUAUCUUGUACAAUGGGGUCACAUCUUAUCUGAGGAUUGGAUUCUAAAAUCUCCAGAGUAAGCCCUUAAUAUCUGUUAGAUAAAUGAAUGAAAGACUUUCUAAUGGACUGGGAUGGGUCAUCUCAUACCAAUGAAAAUGAGAAGCCACCCCGACUCGAAGAUCUAGCCUGGUGAAAUCCCUAAACCCGAUGGAAAAAUAAAGACUUCUCCCAAAUUUCAAACAAAAAACAGUUGGAUGACUUUCAAAAAUCUUGAUAAUUGGAACAGCUUUGAACUUCACACUGCAACAGUCAUCACCUGAGACAACAGAGUGAAAACUGGAGAAUCACUGAGGGGACAAAAACCAGAAGCCCGGAAGACAGUCAAAGGCAACCUCAGACCCAGAACCUCAGGAAAAUGGCCUCAGGGGCCUUGAGUGAAAGCAGACUAAAGGACCUGGAAAGCGAGAGCUCUCGUCAGUCUGCUGACGCUGAUGGACUGCCGUCUGUGGGCCGCCUGUCCCCUUCUCCUGGGCCUUGGGUUCUGGGUUCCAGGGGGAGGAGGCAGUCAGUCAACGAAUAAGUGAAAGAACGAUUGAAUCAACCCUCAGAGGGCAGGGCUGGCCUGCUGCCUUACGUUGGCAGCAGCAGGGCUGGCAGGGCAGCCUCCAUCUGCCCCAUAGGGCAGCUGCGCAGGUUGCAGCCCAGCCUGCCACUGGCAACUCCAGCUGUGACAUUGCAGACUCCUUGACCCUGGGCUGUGACCCUGUGAUCACUCUGCGCGGUGGGGUAGGACGGGGGCUGGGACUGGGCACCCCUCCCCCUGCAGAAUUGGGGCAGGGACAGUGGACACAGCAUGAUGACUAUGAUGACACCAUCAGAGCCCAGCCUACGGCGUUCAUUGUGAUGAGGGAAUGGCAGCCCAGGUCCCUCCCGCAGAUCCCCAGGGGCCCCCACCCUAGUGAGCUGGACCCCUCUGAACCUGGAGCAGUCUUUUGUGCUUUGAUGUCAGCCACACCAGCAGUGAACAGAAGCCUACUCUCUCCCCUUCCUCCUGAGCCUCAGGGUCCCAGGGCAGGCACAGCCCAGGACCCUCCCCAGCUCUGUCCAGGUGGGCAGGUGACUCAGCCUGCCACAUGGCAGGAAAGGAAACGGAGGAGACUCCUGAAGCCCAGGUCCCCACACCGCUCCUUUCCUCCCGCUUGGGCUACUGUGGCCAGUUUAUCCAUGAGCACUCAUGUGCGUCCCUUGUCCAUUCUUUCAGUUGUAUUUAUUGUGUACCUACUGUGCGCUAGAAGCUGGUGGGGUUUCACUCUACAGAGAUGGCCAACGCUGGUCUCUACACAGGUCAACCGUUCCCAGCUCUCUGAAGCUCUGGAACAAUCGCCUUGGACACAUCACCCACCCUGUGCACAGUGAGAAAGUAGGCAGUACUUUUUGUCCCUUGGGGACAAAAAUAAAAACCCAGUCACUUAAGUGUCAUUCCUACAGCAGCAAUGACUUAAUGACUGGAGAUAGGAAAAAAAUACCAUUGUCUGAACAAAGAGAUGUACUUCGUGAAUUUUAUAAUACUGACUGACAUGCUUAAUUCCCUUCCCUUUGGGAAAAAAGAAGAAAAAAGCACUGGAUGCCCCCUCCUCCUAAAAAAGAUAAAAAUAAAUGAUCGGAACAGACACAAAACAGCAGCCCUAGCUUCUUUCACUCCCGAGAACUGUCUGAUGACUGACUCACCCAGGAAUUGUGCCAAAAGGGACAGAGUUUCGU